UACGGAGGGUGCAAGCGUUGUUCGGAUUUACUGGGCGUAAAGGGCGUGUAGGCGGAUGCGUAAGUUGGGGGUGAAAUCCCCGGGCUCAACCCGGGACGGUCUCCCAAAACUGUGUAUCUAGAGAGAGUCAGAGGCAGGCGGAAUUCCAGGUGUAGAGGUGAAAUUCGUAGAUAUCUGGAGGAACACCCGAGGCGAAGGCGGCCUGCUGGGACUUAUCUGACGCUGAGGCGCGAAAGCGUGGGUAGCAAACAGGAUUAGAUACCCUGGUAGUCCACGCUGUAAACGAUGAGCACUAGGUGUGCGGGGUAUGACCCCCCUCGCGCCGCAGCUAACGCAUUAAGUGCUCCGCCUGGGGAUUACGGUCGCAAGACUAAAACUCAAAG
This 383-nucleotide ribosomal RNA is filed under the name uncultured bacterium. Its description in RNAcentral is "bacterial SSU rRNA". It matches the Rfam family "Bacterial small subunit ribosomal RNA", at positions 524 to 906 of the family's 1533-position model. The record is from RNAcentral.